RNAcentral lists this ribosomal RNA (305 nucleotides) under uncultured bacterium. RNAcentral's name for it is "bacterial SSU rRNA". It matches the Rfam family "Bacterial small subunit ribosomal RNA", at positions 337 to 659 of the family's 1533-position model. The record is from RNAcentral.
GCCUACGGGAGGCAGCAGUCGGGAAUAUUGCGCAAUGGAGGAAACUCUGACGCAGUGACGCCGCGUAUAGGAAGAAGGUUUUCGGAUUGUAAACUAUUGUCGUGAGGGAAGAAAUUGACAGUACCUCAGGAGGAAGCUCCGGCUAACUAUGUGCCAGCAGCCGCGGUAAUACAUAGGGAGCAAGCGUUGUCCGGAUUUACUGGGUGUAAAGGGUGCGCAGGCGGCUCUGCAAGUCAGGCGUGAAAGCUAGGGGCUCAACCCCUAAACUGCGCUUGAAACUGUGGAGCUUGAGUGAAGUAGAGGCA